RNAcentral lists this ribosomal RNA (270 nucleotides) under uncultured bacterium. RNAcentral describes it as "partial 16S ribosomal RNA". It matches the Rfam family "Bacterial small subunit ribosomal RNA", at positions 9 to 261 of the family's 1533-position model. The record is from RNAcentral.
GAGUUUGAUCCUGGCUCAGGAUGAACGCUGGCGGCGUGCCUAACACAUGCAAGUCGAGCGAGAAAUCUUGGAUUGAAACUUCGGUCGAUUGAAGAGAUGGAAAGCGGCGGACGGGUGAGUAACGCGUAGGCAACCUGCCCCUUGCAGAGGGAUAGCCAUUGGAAACGAUGAUUAAAACCUCAUAAUACUGCGAAGUCACAUGUCAUUGCAGUCAAAGUAUUUAUCGGCAAGGGAUGGGCCUGCGUCUGAUUAGCUGGUUGGUGGGGUAAC